GGGUUGUGAGGUUAAGCGACUAAGCGUACACGGUGGAUGCCCUGGCAGUCAGAGGCGAUGAAGGACGUGCUAAUCUGCGAUAAGCGCCGGUAAGGUGAUAUGAACCGUUAUAACCGGCGAUUUCCGAAUGGGGAAACCCAGUGUGACUCGUCACACUAUCAUUAACUGAAUCCAUAGGUUAAUGAGGCGAACCGGGGGAACUGAAACAUCUAAGUACCCCGAGGAAAAGAAAUCAACCGAGAUUCCCCCAGUAGCGGCGAGCGAACGGGGAGGAGCCCAGAGCCUGAAUCAGCAUGUGUGUUAGUGGAAGCGUCUGGAAAGGCGCGCGAUACAGGGUGACAGCCCCGUACACAAAAGCGCAUGUGCUGUGAGCUCGAUGAGUAGGGCGGGACACGUGGUAUCCUGUCUGAAUAUGGGGGGACCAUCCUCCAAGGCUAAAUACUCCUGACUGACCGAUAGUGAACCAGUACCGGGAGGGAAAGGCGGAAAGAACCCCGUCGAGGGGAGCUAAAAAGAACCUGAAUGCGUGUACGUACAAGCAGUGGGAGCACAGGUUUACCUGUGUGACUGCGUACCUUUUGUAUAAGGGGUCAGCGACUUAUUUUCUGUAGCAAGGUUAACCGUAUAGGGGAGCCGGAGGGAAACCGAGUCUUAAUUGGGCGUUAAGUUGCAGGGUAUAGACCCGAAACCCGGUGAUCUAGCCAUGGGCAGGUUGAAGGUUGGGUAACACUAACUGGAGGACCGAACCGACUAAUGUUGAAAAAUUAGCGGAUGACCUGUGGCUGGGGGUGAAAGGCCAAUCAAACCGGGAGAUAGCUGGUUCUCCCCGAAAGCUAUUUAGGUAGCGCCUCGUGAAUUCAUCUCCGGGGGUAGAGCACUGUUUCGGCUAGGGGGCCAUCCCGGCUUACCAACCCGAUGCAAACUGCGAAUACCGGAGAAUGUUAUCACGGGAGACACACGGCGGGUGCUAACGUCCGUCGUGAAGAGGGAAACAACCCAGACCGCCAGCUAAGGUCCCAAAGUCAUGGUUAAGUGGGAAACGAUGUGGGAAGGCCCAGACAGCCAGGAUGUUGGCUUAGAAGCAGCCAUCAUUUAAAGAAAGCGUAAUAGCUCACUGGUCGAGUCGGCCUGCGCGGAAGAUGUAACGGGGCUAAACCAUGCACCGAAGCUGCGGCAGCGACGCUUAUGCGUUGUUGGGUAGGGGAGCGUUCUGUAAGCCUGUGAAGGUGGCCUGUGAGGGUGGCUGGAGGUAUCAGAAGUGCGAAUGCUGACAUAAGUAACGAUAAAGCGGGUGAAAAGCCCGCUCGCCGGAAGACCAAGGGUUCCUGUCCAACGUUAAUCGGGGCAGGGUGAGUCGACCCCUAAGGCGAGGCCGAAAGGCGUAGUCGAUGGGAAACGGGUUAAUAUUCCCGUACUUGGUGUUACUGCGAAGGGGGGACGGAGAAGGCUAUGUUGGCCGGGCGACGGUUGUCCCGGUUUAAGCGUGUAGGUGUGUGUUCCAGGUAAAUCCGGUUCACUUUAACACUGAGGCGUGACGACGAGGCACUACGGUGCUGAAGCAACAAAUGCCCUGCUUCCAGGAAAAGCCUCUAAGCAUCAGGUAACAUCAAAUCGUACCCCAAACCGACACAGGUGGUCAGGUAGAGAAUACCAAGGCGCUUGAGAGAACUCGGGUGAAGGAACUAGGCAAAAUGGUGCCGUAACUUCGGGAGAAGGCACGCUGAUAUGUAGGUGAAGUGAUUUACUCAUGGAGCUGAAAUCAGUCGAAGAUACCAGCUGGCUGCAACUGUUUAUUAAAAACACAGCACUGUGCAAACACGAAAGUGGACGUAUACGGUGUGACGCCUGCCCGGUGCCGGAAGGUUAAUUGAUGGGGUCAGCGCAAGCGAAGCUCCUGAUCGAAGCCCCGGUAAACGGCGGCCGUAACUAUAACGGUCCUAAGGUAGCGAAAUUCCUUGUCGGGUAAGUUCCGACCUGCACGAAUGGCGUAAUGAUGGCCAGGCUGUCUCCACCCGAGACUCAGUGAAAUUGAACUCGCUGUGAAGAUGCAGUGUACCCGCGGCAAGACGGAAAGACCCCGUGAACCUUUACUAUAGCUUGACACUGAACAUUGAGCCUUGAUGUGUAGGAUAGGUGGGAGGCUUUGAAGCGUGGACGCCAGUCUGCGUGGAGCCGACCUUGAAAUACCACCCUUUAAUGUUUGAUGUUCUAACGUGGACCCGUUACCCGGGUUGCGGACAGUGUCUGGUGGGUAGUUUGACUGGGGCGGUCUCCUCCUAAAGAGUAACGGAGGAGCACGAAGGUUGGCUAAUCCUGGUCGGACAUCAGGAGGUUAGUGCAAUGGCAUAAGCCAGCUUGACUGCGAGCGUGACGGCGCGAGCAGGUGCGAAAGCAGGUCAUAGUGAUCCGGUGGUUCUGAAUGGAAGGGCCAUCGCUCAACGGAUAAAAGGUACUCCGGGGAUAACAGGCUGAUACCGCCCAAGAGUUCAUAUCGACGGCGGUGUUUGGCACCUCGAUGUCGGCUCAUCACAUCCUGGGGCUGAAGUAGGUCCCAAGGGUAUGGCUGUUCGCCAUUUAAAGUGGUACGCGAGCUGGGUUUAGAACGUCGUGAGACAGUUCGGUCCCUAUCUGCCGUGGGCGCUGGAGAACUGAGGGGGGCUGCUCCUAGUACGAGAGGACCGGAGUGGACGCAUCACUGGUGUUCGGGUUGUCAUGCCAAUGGCACUGCCCGGUAGCUAAAUGCGGAAGAGAUAAGUGCUGAAAGCAUCUAAGCACGAAACUUGCCCCGAGAUGAGUUCUCCCUGAGACUUAGAGUCUCCUGAAGGAACGUUGAAGACGACGACGUUGAUAGGCCGGGUGUGUAAGCGCAGCGAUGCGUUGAGCUAACCGGUACUAAUGAACCGUGAGGCUUAACCUUACAACGCCGAAG
RNAcentral lists this ribosomal RNA (2929 nucleotides) under Salmonella enterica subsp. enterica serovar Saintpaul. RNAcentral's name for it is "23S ribosomal RNA". It matches the Rfam family "Bacterial large subunit ribosomal RNA". Lineage: Bacteria; Pseudomonadati; Pseudomonadota; Gammaproteobacteria; Enterobacterales; Enterobacteriaceae. The record is from RNAcentral.